This 441-nucleotide long non-coding RNA is filed under the name Rattus norvegicus (Norway rat). Its description in RNAcentral is "long non-coding RNA NONRATT023273". The record is from RNAcentral. Lineage: Eukaryota; Metazoa; Chordata; Mammalia; Rodentia; Muridae.
GGCAAGGAAGCUGGCACCCGUGCCUCUUCUGCCGCCUGCCUGCUCCUUGAGCCGGGGAAGUUGGGACUGGGCGGCAGUGACGCCCGGAGAACUGUGACUCUUGUCCUCCAGCACAGUGCUGCCCUCCGUAGGCUCCGGGUUGUGCUGGGGCUUUCAGUUCCUCCUAGCAUGACUGAGAUCUGACCAGCCGACUCACGAGUUGCUUCUUGUGCCACCACUGCAGUGCUGGGGCCUCUUCAUCGCUCCAAACUACAGCACUGUCAUGGCAGCUGCCUCUACUUCCAGCCCUGUGAUUUCACAGCCCCAGUUCACAGCCAUGAACGAACAACAGUGCUUCUACAACGAGUCUAUCGCCUUCUUCUAUAACCGGAGUGGAAAGUAUCUAGCCACAGAAUGGAACACUGUGAGCAAGCUGGUGAUGGGACUGGGCAUCACUGUCUG